CCUACGGGGGAGCAGCAGUGGGGAAUAUUGCGCAAUGGGCGAAAGCCUGACGCAGCAACGCCGUGUGAGGGAUGAAGGCUUUCGGGUCGUAAACCUCUGUCGGAAGGGAAGAACGGGCAUUGGUCUAAUAGGCCUUUGUUUUGACGGUACCUUUAGAGGAAGCACCGGCUAACUCCGUGCCAGCAGCCGCGGUAAUACGGAGGGUGCAAGCGUUAUUCGGAAUUACUGGGCGUAAAGCGCACGUAGGCGGCCUUGUAAGUCAGGGGUGAAAUCCCACGGCUCAACCGUGGAACUGCCUUUGAAACUGCAGGGCUUGAAUCCUGGAGAGGGUGGCGGAAUUCCUGGUGUAGGAGUGAAAUCCGUAGAUAUCAGGAGGAACACCGGUGGCGAAGGCGGCCACCUGGACAGGUAUUGACGUUGAGGUGCGAAAGUGUGGGGAGCAAACAGGAUUAGAUACCCUGGUAGUCCACACCGUAAACGAUGGAUACUAGGUGUCGGGGACUUGAUCUUCGGUGCCGUAGCUAACGCGUAAAGUUUCC
Molecule: ribosomal RNA, 539 nt
Filed under: uncultured Desulfomicrobium sp.
Lineage: Bacteria; Pseudomonadati; Thermodesulfobacteriota; Desulfovibrionia; Desulfovibrionales; Desulfomicrobiaceae
Description: bacterial SSU rRNA
Rfam family: Bacterial small subunit ribosomal RNA
Source: RNAcentral